UAUGUAUCUAUGUGUGUGUUUGUGUGUAUGUAUCUAUGUGUGUGUUUGUGUGUAUGUAUCUAUGUGUGUGUUUGUGUCUAUGUAUCUAUGUGUGUGUGUGUGUGUAUGUGUGUAUGUAUCUAUGUGUGUGUGUGUGUGUAUGUAUCUAUGUGUGUGUGUGUGUGUGUGUAUCUAUGUGUGUGUGUGUGUGUGUGUGUGUGUGUGUGUGUAUGUAUCUAUGUGUGUGUGUGUGUGUGUGUGUGUGUAUGUAUCUAUGUGUGUGUUUGUGUCUAUGUAUCUAUGUAUCUAUGUGUGUGUGUGUGUGUAUGUAUCUAUGUGUGUGUGUGUGUGUAUGUAUCUAUGUGUGUGUUUGUGUCUAUGUAUCUAUGUAUCUAUGUGUGUGUGUGUGUGUGUAUCUAUGUGUGUGUGUGUGUGUGUGUGUAUCUAUGUGUGUGUGUGUGUGUGUGUGUGUGUGUGUGUGUGUGUGUGUGUGUGUGUGUGUGUGUGUGUGUGUGUGUGUGUAUG
Molecule: long non-coding RNA, 504 nt
Organism: Oncorhynchus tshawytscha (Chinook salmon)
Lineage: Eukaryota; Metazoa; Chordata; Actinopteri; Salmoniformes; Salmonidae
Source: Ensembl